This 253-nucleotide ribosomal RNA is filed under the name uncultured bacterium. Its description in RNAcentral is "partial 16S ribosomal RNA". It matches the Rfam family "Bacterial small subunit ribosomal RNA", at positions 524 to 776 of the family's 1533-position model. The record is from RNAcentral.
UACGGGGGGGGCAAGCGUUGUUCGGAAUUACUGGGCGUAAAGGGCUCGUAGGCGGCCAACUAAGUCGGAUGUGAAAUCCCCAAGCUUAACUUGGGAACUGCAUCCGAUACUGGAUGGCUUGAAUCCGGGAGAGGGAUGCAGAAUUCCAGGUGUAGCGGUGAAAUGCGUAGAUAUCUGGAGGAAUACCGGUGGCGAAGGCGGCAUCCUGGACCGGUAUUGACGCUGAGGCGCGAAAGCUAGGGGAGCAAACGGG